RNAcentral lists this long non-coding RNA (621 nucleotides) under Olea europaea subsp. europaea. The record is from RNAcentral. Lineage: Eukaryota; Viridiplantae; Streptophyta; Magnoliopsida; Lamiales; Oleaceae.
CCCCCAGUCUCAUCGUCACUCUCCCUCUCUUCCAGUGAGUCUUCUACCAUCACUCUCCAUCUUUUCCCUCUCUUCCUUUCCAUCUGCUCGCCGCCCGCUUGAGACCUACCCAUGCCACUUCAAAUGAUGACACAGCGUCGUCGCCACCAUGUAGGUAGCACCGCAUAACGCAGCGCGGCGUCCCACAUCUCUGGCCAAUCACCAUGAUUUGCAGCUGUGAAAUGACACCGCGGAGCUGAUCCACCACUCUAGCAACUCGCUUUGUGAAGAAGCCGUGCGUCAGUGUGUGCCACAUCUCCGGCGACACCACCGUUGCAGAUUUGCCAUUUCUCGUCGCCGCUGUGGGUUGAGGACGAGUGUGAUUGCUACCGAAUCUGAUCUUUUUGUUGCUUUUGCUUUCUAUGUGGUUGAUUUGGGUGUUGUUAGUGUGUUGGUGGCGACGGUCGUUGUGGUUUCUAGUGAUGGUGUAGGUUGUUGGUUUCGGAGUUUGUGUGGGUAGUGGUGGUGUUGUUACUGUGACGGUGAUUUUGUAUUGACGUGGGUUGGUUUGGUUAUUGUGACGGUGAUUUUGGGUUGAUGUGGUGUGUGGUGGUGGUUUUGCAGUCUGUUGAGACGAUAGUG